This 204-nucleotide ribosomal RNA is filed under the name uncultured bacterium. RNAcentral's name for it is "partial 16S ribosomal RNA". It matches the Rfam family "Bacterial small subunit ribosomal RNA", at positions 524 to 729 of the family's 1533-position model. The record is from RNAcentral.
UACGAAGGGGGCUAGCGUUGCUCGGAAUGACUGGGCGUAAAGGGCGCGUAGGCGGUUCGUACAGUCAGACGUGAAAUCCCGGGCUCAACCUGGGGGCUGCGUUUGAUACGUGCGGGCUUGAGUUCGGAAGAGGGUCGUGGGAAUUCCCAGUGUAGAGGUGGAAAUUACGUGAGAUUAUUCGCAAGUAACGACCAAGGAACGGCC